RNAcentral lists this ribosomal RNA (450 nucleotides) under uncultured bacterium. Its description in RNAcentral is "bacterial SSU rRNA". It matches the Rfam family "Bacterial small subunit ribosomal RNA", at positions 355 to 825 of the family's 1533-position model. The record is from RNAcentral.
UAGGGAAUAUUGCACAAUGGAGGAAACUCUGAUGCAGCGACGCCGCGUGAGUGACGAAGGCCUUCGGGUUGUAAAGCUCUGUUCUCAGGGAAAAAGAAAGUGAUUGUACCUGAGAAGAAAGGACCGGCUAACUUCGUGCCAGCAGCCGCGGUAAGACGAGGGGUCCAAGCGUUGUUCGGAAUUAUUGGGCGUAAAGCGGGUGUAGGUGGCUCUAUAAGUCAGGAGUGAAAUCCCCGAGCUUAACUUGGGAAGUGCUUUUGAUACUGCAGAGCUUGAAUGUGGGAGAGGAUAAUAGAAUUCCAGGUGUAGUGGUGAAAUACGUAGAUAUCUGGAGGAAUACCGGUGGCGAAGGCGGUUAUCUGGCCCAACAUUGACACUGAGACCCGAAAGCGUGGGGAUCAAACAGGAUUAGAUACCCACGUAGUCCCUGAGCGGGCUGGCAAGGCGCAU